CGGCGUCUGGCGCGCCCUCCUCGACCGCCCGGCUCCCGCGCUGCUGUUUCCUGUUCAACAAUAUGACCAGGGAGGCACCGGCGGAGAGCGCCCGGCAGAACUUCCUCCGGGGCUGUGGUUGCCAGAGACAAUCCCCAGUGUCCUGGCUUCCUGUCCCCUCUGGGCCAGGCCAGCGCCCCAGGAGCAGAGAUGCCACCCCAUUCCCCCUGCACCUCCCAGAUCCAGGGCCACACCUGGCUGUUUCCAGGGAGGAGGAGGAGGCAGCAGGGCUGAGAUGGUGGGAUGAGGGUGGCGGGAGCCUCCCCACUAGCUUCUCCUGGCCAGAUUGCCCUCUCACUGCCCUCCCCGAUUGUCCCCCUACCUCUAGGAGAGGAGGGCCACCCUCCAAUCUGUCCGCAGGGUAAGCUCAGAUCAACCUCCUGGAGGCCAGAAUCUCAAGUCCAGCCCCAGGUUCCUCCACCCUGGGGGUCUUCUCUUUGGGAGUUAUCUGCCUCUCUGGGGAAAGCAGCCUGGCCCCUCUGGGCCCUGCAUUCACUCCAGACAUCACAAGCCCCGGCCCGGUGGACCCUGCUCUCAGUGACCUCAAGGAACAGUUGUGUCCGCCUAGGUGCUGAGGACGGCCGCUUCAGGCUAGUGUCUGGGAGAAGGACGGAGUCCCCACCCCAGCCCCUGCCUCCCUGGACACCACCUCAUGAGGCCUGACUCAGGUUCCAGCCACUUUCUUGAACCCCGGUACCUCUGUAUCUUUGCCCCUGCUAGGUGCUGCCCAGCAGUGAGUCUACAUUGUGCUGGGUAUCUCAGUGUGUCUGAGCCCUGGUGGCAUCUUGGGAUCCUCCAGGGCAGGGUCCUGCUAGAAGAUGGUGGCGGAACCCCCCCACCCCCAACCUACCUCUUAGGUCCCUCCCCACUUGCCCCGAGUUACCCAGCAAGCAAGGCAGGAUGGCAGCAGCUGGUAGCAGUUGUGGUCCUGAUGCCCGACUCUGCCACUUCCUGGCCUUUAGACCUUGGGAGUUUGGCCUUAUUUCUGUGUCUCAGUUUCUUCCUAUAGACUGGGGGCAGUAGCACCUACUUCAUAGGAUUGUUGGGAAGAUUAAAUGAGAUGCACUAGGCACAGUGUCUAACACAUGGCAGAAGGGGAGGAGGAAGAACAAGUGUCCUCAGAAGCACCUUGCAGGGAUGGAGGGGCUGAGCCCACAGUGGGGCAGCACCAUGUCACAUGCCCCUGGCCCUCAACCCCAGUUCCUUUUCUCUUCUCUGGACCUGCCAUCUACUGGCCCCAAGGAGGUUUCACAUGAUUUGGUGUCAAGGGUCUGUGCUUGGACAUGUGAGGGACAGAAAAAGCAGCUGUUGUGGUGGAAUCAGCUUCUGUGUCUGUGAGUAAACCUCCCCAAUGUCCCUGAAAUCCUACCCAGCGGGGGACCCUGACUUCUGGGCGGGGCAUAUAGACUGACACUGCUGCUUACUUACUGUCCCCUCCCUGCCCACUCCUGGUACACAAGCCCCCUUCUCACAAGUGUUUGCCACGGAUGCCUCUAGGCCCUCCCCUGUGACUAAGGAGCGU
This is a non-coding RNA of Microcebus murinus (gray mouse lemur), 1561 nucleotides long. Lineage: Eukaryota; Metazoa; Chordata; Mammalia; Primates; Cheirogaleidae. The record is from RefSeq and is a predicted model, not a curated record.